Molecule: transfer RNA, 99 nt
Filed under: Nocardia farcinica
Lineage: Bacteria; Bacillati; Actinomycetota; Actinomycetes; Mycobacteriales; Nocardiaceae
Description: tRNA-???(cc)
Source: RNAcentral
CCGCCCGGCUACGGCCAGGGCCGGCAGCCGACCGGCUAUCCGCCGCCGGGAUACGGCCAUGCGCCGGGUACGCCGCCGACCGCCCCGGCGCCGGGCGGA